UACAGAGGUCCCAAGCGUUGUUCGGAUUCAUUGGGCGUAAAGGGUGCGUAGGCGGCGCGGUAAGUCGGGUGUGAAAUCUCGGAGCUUAACUCCGAAACUGCAUUCGAUACUGCCGUGCUUGAGGACUGGAGAGGAGACUGGAAUUUACGGUGUAGCGGUGAAAUGCGUAGAUAUCGUAAGGAAGACCAGUGGCGAAGGCGGCAUCCUGGACCAAUUCUGACGCUGAGGAGCGAAAGCCAGGGGAGCAAACGGG
RNAcentral lists this ribosomal RNA (253 nucleotides) under uncultured bacterium. Its description in RNAcentral is "partial 16S ribosomal RNA". It matches the Rfam family "Bacterial small subunit ribosomal RNA", at positions 524 to 776 of the family's 1533-position model. The record is from RNAcentral.